RNAcentral lists this ribosomal RNA (439 nucleotides) under uncultured bacterium. RNAcentral's name for it is "partial 16S ribosomal RNA". It matches the Rfam family "Bacterial small subunit ribosomal RNA", at positions 339 to 795 of the family's 1533-position model. The record is from RNAcentral.
CUACGGGAGGCAGCAGUGGGGAAUCUUGGACAAUGGGCGCAAGCCUGAUCCAGCCAUGCCGCGUGAGUGAAGAAGGCCUUAGGGUCGUAAAGCUCUUUCGCCAGAGAUGAUAAUGACAGUAUCUGGUAAAGAAACCCCGGCUAACUCCGUGCCAGCAGCCGCGGUAAUACGGAGGGGGUUAGCGUUGUUCGGAAUUACUGGGCGUAAAGCGCGCGUAGGCGGAUUAGUCAGUCAGAGGUGAAAUCCCAGGGCUCAACCCUGGAACUGCCUUUGAUACUGCUAGUCUUGAGUUCGAGAGAGGGGAGUGGAAUUCCGAGUGUAGAGGUGAAAUUCGUAGAUAUUCGGAGGAACACCAGUGGCGAAGGCGGCUCACUGGCUCGAUACUGACGCUGAGGUGCGAAAGUGUGGGGAGCAAACAGGAUUAGAUACCCGAGUAGUC